UGGGGAAUAUUGCACAAUGGGCGCAAGCCUGAUGCAGCGACGCCGCGUGGGGGAUNNNGGCUUCGGGUUGUAAACCUCUUUCAGUAGGGACGAAGCGCAAGUGACGGUACCUACAGAAGAAGGACCGG
RNAcentral lists this ribosomal RNA (128 nucleotides) under uncultured bacterium. RNAcentral's name for it is "partial 16S ribosomal RNA". It matches the Rfam family "Bacterial small subunit ribosomal RNA", at positions 355 to 496 of the family's 1533-position model. The record is from RNAcentral.